This 253-nucleotide ribosomal RNA is filed under the name uncultured bacterium. RNAcentral describes it as "partial 16S ribosomal RNA". It matches the Rfam family "Bacterial small subunit ribosomal RNA", at positions 524 to 776 of the family's 1533-position model. The record is from RNAcentral.
GACGGAGGAUGCAAGCGUUAUCCGGAAUGAUUGGGCGUAAAGCGUCCGCAGGUGGCUGUUCAAGUCUGCUGUCAAAGACCGGGGCUUAACUUCGGAAAGGCAGUGGAAACUGAACAGCUAGAGUAUGGUAGGGGCAGAGGGAAUUCCUGGUGUAGCGGUGAAAUGCGUAGAGAUCAGGAAGAAUAUCGGUGGCGAAGGCGCUCUGCUGGACCAUAACUGACACUCAGGGACGAAAGCUAGGGGAGCGAAUGGG